This 476-nucleotide ribosomal RNA is filed under the name uncultured organism. Its description in RNAcentral is "partial 16S ribosomal RNA". It matches the Rfam family "Bacterial small subunit ribosomal RNA", at positions 332 to 799 of the family's 1533-position model. The record is from RNAcentral.
UACACUCCUGCGGGAGGCAGCAGUGGGGAAUUUUGGACAAUGGGCGAAAGCCUGAUCCAGCAAUGCCGCGUGAGUGAAGAAGGCCUUCGGGUUGUAAAGCUCUUUUGUCAGGGAAGAAACGGUGAAAGCUAAUAUCUUUUGCUAAUGACGGUACCUGAAGAAUAAGCACCGGCUAACUACGUGCCAGCAGCCGCGGUAAUACGUAGGGUGCAAGCGUUAAUCGGAAUUACUGGGCGUAAAGCGUGCGCAGGCGGUUUUGUAAGUCUGAUGUGAAAUCCCCGGGCUCAACCUGGGAAUUGCAUUGGAGACUGCAAGGCUAGAAUCUGGCAGAGGGGGGUAGAAUUCCACGUGUAGCAGUGAAAUGCGUAGAUAUGUGGAGGAACACCGAUGGCGAAGGCAGCCCCCUGGGUCAAGAUUGACGCUCAUGCACGAAAGCGUGGGGAGCAAACAGGAUUAGAAACCCUAGUAGUCCCAUG